This 321-nucleotide ribosomal RNA is filed under the name Triticum aestivum (bread wheat). RNAcentral's name for it is "partial small subunit ribosomal RNA". The record is from RNAcentral. Lineage: Eukaryota; Viridiplantae; Streptophyta; Magnoliopsida; Poales; Poaceae.
AUGCCCGAGACAGAUGAGCAGAAGGUGGUCCGGCUGCAGGCACUUGUGGCGUUUGGCAAGGCGGCGCACGCGGAAGCCAUGCGCUACAGCGACAUGGAGGAGGAGGAGGUGGUGGAGGAGUACCGGCGGGCGGGCAAGCUGCACACCUAUGACCAGGACAAGGAGUGGAAGAAGCGUUUUGCCAGGGUUGCCAAACUCCACCCGUGUCACUGGGGCAAGCAAAUGGUCGCAAAGAUCGAAGAGUAUAUGUAUUACCUUGAAGAAGACGAGGACGACUUCAAGAUGGGGCUUUAUUCAUUAUUAAUCGAUGAUGAAUCUUAG